This 930-nucleotide ribosomal RNA is filed under the name Belostoma subspinosum. Its description in RNAcentral is "bacterial SSU rRNA". It matches the Rfam family "Eukaryotic small subunit ribosomal RNA", at positions 111 to 926 of the family's 1831-position model. The record is from RNAcentral. Lineage: Eukaryota; Metazoa; Arthropoda; Insecta; Hemiptera; Belostomatidae.
UUUAGUUCACUUGAGCGAAAACGUCCAAGUUACUGGAUAACUGUGGCAAUUCUAGAGCUAAUACAUGCAACCGAGUCCCGACCAGUGAUGGGAAGGACGCUUUUAUUAGAUCAAAAUCAAUCGGGGCCGGCCACCGCGCCGCCCCGUUCGACUUGAUGACUCUGAAUAACACACAGCUGAUCGCACGGUCUCCGCGCCGGCGACUCAUCUUUCAAAUGCCUGACUUAUCAACUGUCGAUGGUAGGCUCUACGUCUACCAUGGUUGUAACGGGUGACGGGGAAUCAGGGUUCGAUUCCGGAGAGGGAGCCUGAGAAACGGCUACCACAUCCAAGGAAGGCAGCAGGCACGCAAAUUACCCACUCCCGGCACGGGGAGGUAGUGACAAAAAAUAACGAUACGGGACUCAUCCGAGGCCCCGUAAUCGGAAUGAGCACACUCUAAAUCAUUUAACAAGUACCUAUUGGAGGGCAAGUCUGGUGCCAGCAGCCGCGGUAAUUCCAGCUCCAAUGGCGUAUAUUAAAGUUGUUGCGGUUAAAAAGCUCGUAGUUGGUCCUGCGUCCCACGCUGUCGGUUCACCGCCUGUCGGUGCAACUGGCACGCCGUGGGAUGUCCUGUCGGUGGCGGCCGCGGCCCGGGACGGCGGGGCCCAGGACCCGGAACGGGCCCGAAGCUCCACGGCCCGGGAACCGCCGGUCGCCUAACCUAAUCCCGCCGCGGUGCUCUUAGCUGAGUGUCGGAGCGGGCCGACACGUUUACUUUGAACAAAUUAGAGUGCUCAAAGCAGGCUGAACUCAGCCUGAAUAGUGGUGCAUGGAAUAAUUGAAUAGGACCUCGGUUCUAUUUUGUUGGUUUUCGGAAUCCGAGGUAAUGAUCAAUAUGGACAGGCGGGGGCAUUCGUAUUGCGGCGUUAGAGGUGAAAUUCUUGGAUC